GCAUUGAUGAUUCAGCAUUACAAUUCUCGUCUUUUAAACAGUAGACCUGGGUUCGAUUCCCAACCAAUGUA
This 71-nucleotide transfer RNA is filed under the name Loxodonta africana (African savanna elephant). It matches the Rfam family "tRNA". Rfam says of the family: Transfer RNA (tRNA) molecules are approximately 80 nucleotides in length. Their secondary structure includes four short double-helical elements and three loops (D, anti-codon, and T loops). Lineage: Eukaryota; Metazoa; Chordata; Mammalia; Proboscidea; Elephantidae. The record is from Rfam by way of RNAcentral.